GACCGAACCGACUUACGUUGAAAAGUGAGCGGAUGAACUGAGGGUAGCGGAGAAAUUCCAAUCGAACCUGGAGAUAGCUGGUUCUCUCCGAAAUAGCUUUAGGGCUAGCCUCAAGUGAUGAUUAUUGGAGGUAGAGCACUGUUUGGACGAGGGGCCCCUCUCGGGUUACCGAAUUCAGACAAACUCCGAAUGCCAAUUAAUUUAACUUGGGAGUCAGAACAUGGGUGAUAAGGUCCGUGUUCGAAAGGGAAACAGCCCAGACCACCAGCUAAGGUCCCAAAAUAUAUGUUAAGUGGAAAAGGAUGUGGCGUUGCCCAGACAACUAGGAUGUUGGCUUAGAAGCAGCCAUCAUUUAAAGAGUGCGUAAUAGCUCACUAGUCGAGUGACACUGCGCCGAAAAUGUACCGGGGCUAAACAUAUUACCGAAGCUGUGGAUUGUCCUUUGGACAAUGGUAGGAGAGCGUUCU
This 467-nucleotide ribosomal RNA is filed under the name Staphylococcus aureus. RNAcentral describes it as "partial 23S ribosomal RNA". It matches the Rfam family "Bacterial large subunit ribosomal RNA", at positions 772 to 1242 of the family's 2925-position model. Lineage: Bacteria; Bacillati; Bacillota; Bacilli; Caryophanales; Staphylococcaceae. The record is from RNAcentral.